This 253-nucleotide ribosomal RNA is filed under the name uncultured bacterium. Its description in RNAcentral is "partial 16S ribosomal RNA". It matches the Rfam family "Bacterial small subunit ribosomal RNA", at positions 524 to 776 of the family's 1533-position model. The record is from RNAcentral.
UACGUAGGGUGCAAGCGUUAAUCGGAAUUACUGGGCGUAAAGCGUGCGCAGGCGGUUAUGUAAGUCAUAUGUGAAAUGCCCGGGCUUAACCUGGGAACUGCAUUUGUGACUGCAUGGCUAGAGUUUGGCAGAGGGGGGUAGAAUUCCACGUGUAGCAGUGAAAUGCGUAGAUAUGUGGAGGAACACCGAUGGCGAAGGCAGCCCCCUGGGUCAAGACUGACGCUCAUGCACGAAAGCGUGGGGAGCAAACAGG